This is a long non-coding RNA of Erinaceus europaeus (western European hedgehog), 536 nucleotides long. RefSeq lists it as uncharacterized. The record is from RefSeq and is a predicted model, not a curated record. The transcript has 2 exons. Lineage: Eukaryota; Metazoa; Chordata; Mammalia; Eulipotyphla; Erinaceidae.
ACAGGACCUGGAGUCAGCUCGGAGUGGGCGUGCACCCCAAGUGAAAAGUGAAGAAAGCAGGUGAGGACCACAGCCACAGCAGCACAGGAGGGAGUCAUGAUGUAAUCCUGAACCUGAAUCAGAUGCAGUAAAUCGAUUUGCAACCUAAGGAAAUUUCCCUGGCAAGUUCCUUCGAGCUUUCUGCAAUGAGUGCUUUUCAGCCACCAAUUUGCAGAUGCUACCUUGAUGCCAACCUGACUUCUCUGAGCAGAUGACUUUACCAAUGUGUCCUGGAACCCCACCUCUCCAGAGUCCUGCCCCACUAGGGAAAGAUAGAAACAAGCUGGGAAUAUGGAUUGACCUGCCAAUGUCCAUGUCCAGUGGAGAAGCAACUACAGAAGACAAACCUUCCACCUUCUGAACCCCAUAAAUAUCUCUGAUGUUUAUUCCAGUGAAGAGAAUGGGGCCACAGAACUCUGAUGACAGGAACAGUGUGGAAUUGUACCCCAGUUAUUUUGUAAUUUUGUAAAUCACUAAUAAAAAUAGAAAAAUGUUAA